GAGGGUGUAGCUCAGUGGUAGCGCAUAGGCUUAGCGUGCAUGAGGUCCUGGGUUCAAUCCCCAGUACCUCCA
RNAcentral lists this transfer RNA (72 nucleotides) under Camelus bactrianus (Bactrian camel). It matches the Rfam family "tRNA". Rfam says of the family: Transfer RNA (tRNA) molecules are approximately 80 nucleotides in length. Their secondary structure includes four short double-helical elements and three loops (D, anti-codon, and T loops). Further hydrogen bonds mediate the characteristic L-shaped molecular structure. tRNAs have two regions of fundamental functional importance: the anti-codon, which is responsible for specific mRNA codon recognition, and the 3' end, to which the tRNAs corresponding amino acid is attached (by aminoacyl-tRNA synthetases). tRNAs cope with the degeneracy of the genetic code in two manners: having more than one tRNA (with a specific anti-codon) for a particular amino acid; and 'wobble' base-pairing, i.e. permitting non-standard base-pairing at the 3rd anti-codon position. Lineage: Eukaryota; Metazoa; Chordata; Mammalia; Artiodactyla; Camelidae. The record is from Rfam by way of RNAcentral. RNAcentral also lists the same sequence under 1 other name.